AGAAAAAAUGUUAAUGCUAUAAGUACUUAACCAGAAAAUUCUGUCACCAAGAAUAACAUGUUUCCAACAACUUUAACUCUUACAACUAAUAAGAUCAGGCGAGGGUAGGAAGGACACAUUUCCUGUCUAAUCUGUAAGCAUUCAAUCGUAUUCGUAGCAAAGUAUGGUUUGUUUAUUUUAUCUUACUUAUUUUAUUUUACAGGUAUAUGUAUGAUGUAGAGGUAGGCUUUAUCCUGGGCCUUGAAGGGAGAUUUUGAUCAAGGAAAGCAACGCAGGAAACAGAUUAGAUCUUUCAAGGACACAGGGAUCCAGUUCUGCACAGCUGGGGCUGUGGAGAGAGAGUUUCCCACUUUGCUUCUGUCACAUCUAUACCUGGACUUGAACUUUUACAACGUGAAUCUGUUUGAGGGAAGAUGUUUUCAUUCUCUCAUCGCAAGGGAAAGACAGACGAAGGCAAGGGCCUAAAGAACCUUCCCUGCGGGGACCUGGGAUUCAGAGGCGGGGAUACGGCUGAGCUCCGGACACGCGUGCAGGCCUCUGCCACCUGACAGUGCCGUGUAUGACAUAGGUCAGCGGCAGUCCAACAGACUCAGAAGCCUCGGAGAAGCUCUCUCAAGUUCUAACUAGUGCUCAGAGACCAGGGCUGCAGGGAAGAUUUACCCCUGCCUGCAAUUGACAAAAAUGCAUCAGACAAAAUGCAUCAGACAAAAAUGCAUCACAAAUCCUAGACCCGGGUCACGACACUUCCCAUGCCAGAAAAAGUAAGAGGCCUCUGUAAGGACCAACAACGGGGAGG
Erinaceus europaeus (western European hedgehog) is the source of this 796-nucleotide long non-coding RNA. RefSeq lists it as uncharacterized. The transcript is spliced from 3 exons. The record is from RefSeq and is a predicted model, not a curated record. NCBI's taxonomy places the organism in Eukaryota, Metazoa, Chordata, Mammalia, Eulipotyphla, Erinaceidae.